GGAAUAUUGCGCAAUGGGCGAAAGCCUGACGCAGCGACGCCGCGUGGGUGAUGAAGGUUUUCGGAUUGUAAAGCCCUUUUCCAGGUGACGAGGCAGGACGGUAGCCUGGGAAUAACAGUCGGCCAACUACGUGCCAGCAGCCGCGGGAAAACGGAGGACCCGAGCGUUAUCCGGAGUUCCUGGGCGUAAAGAGCGCGCAGGCGGGGCGUUAAGUUUGCUAGGAAAGCUCCCGGCUAAACCGGGAGAGGCUGGCGGAUACUGGCGCUCUAGAGUAAGCGAGAGGGAUGUGGAAUUCCGCGUGUAGUGGUGAAAUGCGUAGAGAUGCGGAGGAACACCAGUGGCGAAGGCGGCAUCCUGGCGCUUAACUGACGCUGAGGCGCGACAGCAUGGGGAGCGAAC
This 399-nucleotide ribosomal RNA is filed under the name uncultured bacterium. RNAcentral's name for it is "bacterial SSU rRNA". It matches the Rfam family "Bacterial small subunit ribosomal RNA", at positions 358 to 773 of the family's 1533-position model. The record is from RNAcentral.